Long non-coding RNA from Corapipo altera (White-ruffed manakin), 511 nucleotides. RefSeq lists it as uncharacterized. The transcript has 3 exons. NCBI's taxonomy places the organism in Eukaryota, Metazoa, Chordata, Aves, Passeriformes, Pipridae. The record is from RefSeq and is a predicted model, not a curated record.
GCAUCGCCCUCAUCCCCGAACCCCCUUUUAAAUCCUCACCGGGGCUCGUCCCGGCCUCAUACAAGUCAGUGCUGGACUCUUGCUCAGCACCGUGUGGGGAUCUCGCGCUCGCCCCAGGGUUUUUAGAGCCGGCCUGUGAGGAGAAGCCCCCCGGGAGAGCAGAGCCCGCGGGAGGAGCCGACAUCCUCGCCCUGACCGAGGGAGAAGAGUCCUUUCCCUGCUCCAGCCUGGGCUCCUCUCUCCAUGGACUGCACUUCCCUGCCAGGACCCUGCUCCAGGUGGGGUGCCCACGGAGUCGCAGCUUCCUUUGGGCAUCCCCCUGAUCCAGGGGGCUCCUCCAGGGGCUGCAGGUGGAUCUCUGCUCCUCCAGGGGCUGCAGGUGGGUCUCUGCUCUACCAUGGACCUCCAGGGGCUGCAGAUGGAUCUUUGCUCCUCCAGGGCCCGCAGAAGGAUCUCUGCUCCCUUUUGACCUCCAAGGGCUGCAGGUGGAUCUCUGCUCCUCCAGGGGCUG